RNAcentral lists this ribosomal RNA (655 nucleotides) under Tuber sinomonosporum. RNAcentral's name for it is "eukaryotic LSU rRNA". The stretch from base 234 to 387 matches the Rfam family "5.8S ribosomal RNA". The record is from RNAcentral. Lineage: Eukaryota; Fungi; Ascomycota; Pezizomycetes; Pezizales; Tuberaceae.
GCGGGGAAAGGAUCAUUAGAGAUAUCAGGGGGCGCCACUGUGGCGCCUCCCGCUAUACAACCCACUGUGUACCCUUGCCACGUUGCUUCCCCAGGCCAGCGGCCACUGCUGCCAGCCCCUCGACCCCUCCCGCGGUCGUGGUCCUGAGGUGCCUGGGGGAGGGUCCAACCCCCAAAUCUUUGCUCAUCUAGGCAGUCUGAGCAGGCCACCCGCCUGAGAAGGUAAUAUGUUAAAACUUUCAACAACGGAUCUCUUGGCUCUCGCAUCGAUGAAGAACGCAGCGAAAUGCGAUAAGUAAUGUGAAUUGCAGAAUUCAGUGAAUCAUCGAAUCUUUGAACGCACAUUGCGCCCUCUGGCAUUCCUCAGGGCAUGCCUGUUUGAGCGUCAAUAGAAACCCUUUCAGUCACCCUCCCGGUGGUACUGGGGGAGGUGGGUCGCCCUCCUGGCAUGAGGCCCACCCCUCCCGAAAAUCAUGGGCCCGUGAGCUGACAGCUGCCAUUGACUUUGCAAGCGCUUGGAAAGCCUGAACCAGUCAGGUGGCGCAGGUCAGUCGGCGCCCCCAACUGGACCCCCAAUCCAGCAUGACAAUGUGGGUUGACCUCGGAUCAGGUAGGGAUACCCGCUGAACUUAAGCAUAUCAAUAAGCGGGAGGAAA